CAGUCGCCGCGGUAACACGAAGGGUGCAAGCGUUACUCGGAAUUACUGGGCGUAAAGCGUGCGUAGGUGGUGGUUUAAGUCCGUUGUGAAAGCCCUGGGCUCAACCUGGGAAUUGCAGUGGAUACUGGGUCACUAGAGUGUGGUAGAGGAUAGUGGAAUUUCCGGUGUAGCAGUGAAAUGCGUAGAGAUCGGAAGGAACAUCUGUGGCGAAGGCGACUAUCUGGGCCAACACUGACACUGAGGCACGAAAGCGUGGGGAGCAAACAGGAUUAGAUACCCCCGUAGUCCCUGUCUCUUAUAC
This 301-nucleotide ribosomal RNA is filed under the name uncultured bacterium. Its description in RNAcentral is "partial 16S ribosomal RNA". It matches the Rfam family "Bacterial small subunit ribosomal RNA", at positions 509 to 807 of the family's 1533-position model. The record is from RNAcentral.